UACGGGGGGGGGCAAGCGUGUUCGGAAUUACUGGGCGUAAAGCGCACGUAGGCGGCUUUGUAAGUUAGAGGUGAAAGCCCAGGGCUCAACCCUGGAAUUGCCUUUAAGACUGCAUCGCUUGAACAUCGGAGAGGUAAGUGGAAUUCCGAGUGUAGAGGUGAAAUUCGUAGAUAUUCGGAAGAACACCAGUGGCGAAGGCGACUUACUGGACGAUUGUUGACGCUGAGGUGCGAAAGCGUGGGGAGCAAACAGG
This 253-nucleotide ribosomal RNA is filed under the name uncultured bacterium. RNAcentral describes it as "partial 16S ribosomal RNA". It matches the Rfam family "Bacterial small subunit ribosomal RNA", at positions 524 to 776 of the family's 1533-position model. The record is from RNAcentral.